Molecule: ribosomal RNA, 465 nt
Filed under: uncultured bacterium
Lineage: Bacteria
Description: bacterial SSU rRNA
Rfam family: Bacterial small subunit ribosomal RNA
Source: RNAcentral
CGCUGGCGGCAUGCCUAACACAUGCAAGUCGAACGGAACUAAGGGGCUUGCCCUUAGUUAGUGGCGGACGGGUGAGUAACGCGUGAGCAACUGCCUUUCAGUGGGAAUAAUAUCCUGAAAAGGGUACUAAUACCGCAUAACGUAACGAGAUCGCAUGGUUUUGUUACCAAAGAUUUAUCGCUGAGAGAUGGGCUCGCGUCCGAUUAGCCAGUUGGUGGGGUAACGGCCUACCAAAGCUACGAUCGGUAGCCGGACUGAGAGGUUGAACGGCCACAUUGGGACUGAGACACGGUCCAGACUCCUACGGGAGGCAGCAGUGGGGGAUAUUGCGCAAUGGGGGAAACCCUGACGCCAGCAAUGCCGCGUGAAGGAUGAAGGUCUUCGGAUUGUAAACUUCUUUUGUCAGGGACGAAAAUUGACGGUACCUGACGAAUAAGCUCCGGCUAACUACGUGCCAGCCGCUGC